This 250-nucleotide unclassified non-coding RNA is filed under the name plant metagenome. RNAcentral's name for it is "partial contains small subunit ribosomal RNA, internal transcribed spacer 1, and 5.8S ribosomal RNA". The record is from RNAcentral.
GUUGGUGAACCAGCGGAGGGAUCAUUAAUAGAGUUGAAAGACUCCCUAAAACCACUGUGAACUCAUCCUUUAGUGUUGCUUCGGCGGGCAGCUCCUCCCUGGAGCCGCAGCCCAAUCCCCCUUCCGCGGGGGGGUGCGGGCGCUCGCCGGAGGUACCAAACCCUUCUGUAAUUAAUACUGUCUCUCUGAAUAUACAAGCAAUAAAUCAAAACUUUCAACAACGGAUCUCUUGGCUCUGGCAUCGAUGAAG